GACGAACGCUGGCGGCGUGCUUAACACAUGCAAGUCGAGCGGUAAGGCCCUUUCGGGGGUACACGAGCGGCGAACGGGUGAGUAACACGUGGGUGACCUGCCCUUAGCUCUGGGAUAAGCCUAGGAAACUGGGUCUAAUACCGGAUAUGACUCCAUGACGCAUGUUGUGGGGUGGAAAGCCUUGUGCGGCUAGGGAUGGGCCCGCGGCCUAUCAGCUUGUUGGUGGGGUGAUGGCCACCAAGGCGACGACGGGUAGCCGGCCUGAGAGGGCGACCGGCCACACUGGGACUGAGACACGGCCCAGACUCCUACGGGAGGCAGCAGUGGGGAAUCUUGCGCAAUGGGCGAAAGCCUGACGCAGCGACGCCGCGUGAGGGAUGACGGCCU
Molecule: ribosomal RNA, 387 nt
Filed under: uncultured bacterium
Lineage: Bacteria
Description: bacterial SSU rRNA
Rfam family: Bacterial small subunit ribosomal RNA
Source: RNAcentral